Molecule: ribosomal RNA, 548 nt
Filed under: uncultured archaeon
Lineage: Archaea
Description: bacterial SSU rRNA
Rfam family: Archaeal small subunit ribosomal RNA
Source: RNAcentral
CGGGGUGCACCAGGCGCGAAAACUUUACAAUGCGGGAAACCGUGAUAAGGGGACACCGAGUGCCAGCAUCAUAUGCUGGCUGUCCAGGUGUGUAAAAUACACCUGUUAGCAAGGGCCGGGCAAGACCGGUGCCAGCCGCCGCGGUAACACCGGCGGCCCGAGUGGUGAUCGUGAUUAUUGGGUCUAAAGGGUCCGUAGCCGGUUUGGUCAGUCCUCCGGGAAAUCUGAUAGCUUAACUAUUAGGCUUUCGGGGGAUACUGCCAGGCUUGGAACCGGGAGAGGUAAGAGGUACUACAGGGGUAGGAGUGAAAUCUUGUAAUCCCUGUGGGACCACCUGUGGCGAAGGCGUCUUACCAGAACGGGUUCGACGGUGAGGGACGAAAGCUGGGGGCACGAACCGGAUUAGAUACCCGGGUAGUCCCAGCCGUAAACGAUGCUCGCUAGGUGUCAGGCAUGGCGCGACCGUGUCUGGUGCCGCAGGGAAGCCGUGAAGCGAGCCACCUGGGAAGUACGGCCGCAAGGCUGAAACUUAAAGGAAUUGGCGGGGG